This is a long non-coding RNA of Telopea speciosissima, 121 nucleotides long. RefSeq lists it as uncharacterized. The transcript is spliced from 4 exons. Lineage: Eukaryota; Viridiplantae; Streptophyta; Magnoliopsida; Proteales; Proteaceae. The record is from RefSeq and is a predicted model, not a curated record.
AGAGGACAUGCAGAUGAUCGUCACAGCAACAGAAUCAAUUCUCUCUAGAAACCCUAGUUGCAGCAACCAGAGAUUUUCACUCUGAUCACAAGCUCGGAGAGGGUGGAUUCGGCCCUGUUUA